GACGAACGCUGGCGGCGUGCUUAACACAUGCAAGUCGAACGGUGAAGCGCCUUCCUUUUUGGUGGGUGUGGAUGAGUGGCGAACGGGUGAGUAACACGUGAGUAACCUGCCCCCUUCUUCUGGAUAACCGCAUGAAAGUGUGGCUAAUACGGGAUAUUCUGGGUCUGUCGCAUGAUGGGUCUGGGAAAGAUAUUGUUUCGGUGGUGGAUGGGGUCGCGGCCUAUCAGCUUGUUGGUGGGGUGAUGGCCUACCAAGGCGGUGACGGGUAGCCGGCCUGAGAGGGUAGACGGCCACACUGGGACGGAGACACCGCCAAGACUCCUAAGGGAGGCAGCAGUGGGGAAUAUUGCACAAUGGGCGCAAGCCUGAUGCAGCGACGCCGCGUGGGGGAUGGAGGCCUUCGGGUUGUGAACCUCUUUCGCCAGUGAAGCAUGCCUGCCUCGUUUGUGGGUGGGUUGACGGUAGCUGGAUAAGAAGCGCCGGCUAACUACGUG
RNAcentral lists this ribosomal RNA (494 nucleotides) under uncultured bacterium. RNAcentral's name for it is "partial 16S ribosomal RNA". It matches the Rfam family "Bacterial small subunit ribosomal RNA", at positions 28 to 507 of the family's 1533-position model. The record is from RNAcentral.